RNAcentral lists this ribosomal RNA (253 nucleotides) under uncultured bacterium. RNAcentral's name for it is "partial 16S ribosomal RNA". It matches the Rfam family "Bacterial small subunit ribosomal RNA", at positions 524 to 776 of the family's 1533-position model. The record is from RNAcentral.
UACGUAGGGGGCAAGCGUUGUCCGGAAUCAUUGGGCGUAAAGAGCGUGUAGGCGGCUCGAUAAGUCUGCUGUGAAAGUCCAGGGCUCAACCCUGGAAGGCCGGUGGAAACUGUCGGGCUAGAGUCCGGAAGAGGCGAGUGGAAUUCCCGGUGUAGCGGUGAAAUGCGCAGAUAUCGGGAGGAACACCAAUGGCGAAGGCAGCUCGCUGGGCCGAUACUGACGCUGAGGAGCGAAAGCGUGGGGAGCGAACAGG